CCAGCGAACUACCUAGGAGUCUCUGGACUGAAGUAUCGCUCCCUAACUCCUGUUGCGGUGCGUAAGGUGUGUCCUGACAUGUGCACAAAAAGGCACAUAAGUGUAGUAUUAGCACAACCGACCCCAUGUGCUGGUAAGUGCCCGGCCUAACCACGGCGAGGUAGUGACGAGGCUAAACCGGACCUACCACAAUCAACCUGUACAAAUAUAUGUGCAAUAACAGAAAGAUAACAAAAAUUUUAAUAGAUAAUAGGGAGGGGACAUGCUGGGGGUGUAACAGUCAAUUAUAAAUCCAACAAACAAAAAAUGGAACUAAAUAUAUAACAUUAAGUAGAGAAAGCCAGUGAAUCAACAACUGCACGGCACCACCCUUCGUGCUUUUACUCUCAUUUCUCACCAAAACUGUCAAAUAUAAUGCACGAUGUCACACCUCUUUUUUCACUGUACACCCCCGCAAAAGGGAGCGUAAAUGAGUUUUUCCAAUUAAAGAACAAUCGGAACGAAAUUUGUUAUUAUCUAUUCAGAGUCGCCACUUGGGAGAUUAAUGGUGUCCCAAGUUACAGAUUGAAUCCCGAACCUAAGAAAAAGAUGACUCUGUUCACAGUCCGCGAACCAGAAAUGUGGAUAAGAAAUUUAGUUAAACCGGGAGAUGGUGUCAGGAAUUCUCGAGUUCCGUGCUUCUAGCACGGUCACUCAACUGUUGUAUUUAACUUUAACUGAUUUAUUACAUGAAGAACCUAUGUGCCAAUUUUUACUUUUUACUGCUUUUAUUUAAUAUGAUAUUUAUUUAAGGAAGUGAAUGUCGUUUAAAAUGUGUUUUCGGAUUGCGCCGCAUCAAAUGAACCUGCAAUCCUAGACACACUCUAUUUAACGUGUUAGGAUUUGGAUUUGGGCCGCAUAAAAUGUCCACCCGUAUUUAGGAAUAUAAUUUAUUAAAUUCGCGCCUAAUAGGGUCUAACGCGUUGUAAUCUUUUGGGAGGGCCAUGAAAUUCGCUAAACGGCCCUUCGAUUAUCUAAAUAUUUUCUACACCUUUAUUAAGGGCCCCGUAAUUUGCAUUUUUGUUGGCGAUGCUCGUCUCAUUUUAUUUUAAAAGGAUAAAUCUAAAAGGUAACUACAAUUUCUAUUUUUGAUUUUUGUCUCUAAUAACGAAAGAAUGAUCCUAAUUAAUUAUGUUUAAAAUCCGGGCAUUAAGUUCAGGUCGGGGUCCAAACAAAAGGACGAACCUUUUAGUUUAAAUCCCGCUACCUAACUCAAAACCUGAAUUCCUUUAAUCUAAUUAUGUAGUUCAGUUAAAGAAUAGCAACCUAAUUCUAUACCGUGCAAAAUCAUAUUCAGCUACAGCUAAUUCGAGAAGCUUGUCAUAAGCGCACACAGAUAUUGCACUAGUGCCUAGUCAGACGUCUGUUCCCAUUUAUGGAUAUGUUUCGAGUCAUUAUCAAAUAGGAAACAUUCAAAUUAUUAUCACAUACAGCGAAAAUCUGACACCAAAUCCACAUGAGUUAUUGAAUUAAUGAUAUAAUACCUUAUUUAAAAUUCUGAAGGAAUCCUACAAUUUUUAUCAAAGUAAGAGACAGACUUGGAAAUAUGAAUGAACCAAUAAAUAAAAUUACACCUUAAUCCUGAACCCGCAUAUACAACAUCAGUUUAAUGAAUUUGACCCAAACCCACUUUGAUCAACCCCCACAAUUCCAACAAGUCACUGUUUUUCAUUUCCAUUUUGAAAAUACCCGCAGAUCAUUGCAUCCUAUGUGAUAAAUUUGUCAUGGAUUUGAAUAUUCAUCGCUAAACUAAGAACAUAUUCAAGUAGUUCAUAUUUCUUCAAGUUAACGUGGAAUGCUACGCGACAUUGACCUCAAAUUGUAAUCACAAAACCUGCAGAAUAAAUGACUUAACAAAGCGAUAAGGCCCAGUAAUCCAAUUCAAUAACAACACUGUGCAAUUCUAUACGACCAAGUCUUCUACAACAUUUUAGCUACUCAAAGUGCAAUAACAAUUAAGCUACUAAUGACAAUCUGUGUCAUUCAGCCAAGCACAAAACUCCUGCAAUUUUGAAGUAACUUGACACAAACCAGCAGUCUAUCAGUGUACAAAAUAGUCCAACGAAAUCCAUCAUGUAUACACGACAAAUCGACACUCGGUUAUAUAAAACAGUGCAUCCAAUAUCUUUUAACUACUGAUAUGCAACAAUCCAGCAAGCAGAUUUCAUGACCAAAACAGCUGGGCAAUUCUAUUCCAUUUCAGAGCUUGGAAUUGUAGUAGAAUUUCGAGUGUAUACAUGGAGAUAUAAAAUGCAAUGAAGAAGAAGAGGAAGUCAGCAACAACAAGCAGAUAAUCAAAUGCAGCCCAGGAAUGAAAUCAACAGUCCAUAAAUGCUUUAAAACCACAUAGGUCCAAUAGAAUCAACCCAAACAGCACCCAAAAUAACCAGAAAUGAACCCACAAAUCAAUACACUCGUCAAAUAACCCACAACCAAUUCAAUCAAAUCACACCCAAACCAACGAGUGAAUCCACACCUAUUUCUGAUCCUAAAUGAACUGGGAGUGCUGUUUUUGGGGACGAAAUUUUCAGGGUUCACAAAACAGACCCAAAAUCAAGCCAUGAGAUAAAAUGUUGAAAGCUAUGACCUGACAGUGGACUGAACCUCAAUGAAAUAAUGAAAUUUUAUGGUUUUCCUAAUUUUGUAUAUAUACUUUAUUUGUGUUUUUGAGUAUUUGAAUGCAGAAAUUAAUAUGAAGCUAAAUGAAAAGGAAAAUUAGAUUUCUUAUGGAAUUGUUUUUGAGCUGAAAAAUUGAAUACCAUUUUUCAAGGCAUCUUGAAGCCCUUUUAUAGGCAACAUGAAUCAGAUUUUUUGUUUUCAUUUUAGUCCCCCCUUAUUUCAUUUUGAUCCUUAUUUUUCUAACUUGUUGCCCAAGUAAGUACCUCUUAUUUACUGAAAUGCACACUAAAGUACCAUUCUAGAAGGUCUGAUACCCGUUACAAUUCCUAAACUACCAUUCCCUACUUUGGAAAUUACUAUUCUUAAAAGAAACUACCAUUUUCCCAUGCCCAAACUACUCUUACCUUCGCCUGAAAUUACUAACCCCUUACCCUGAUUAACAGACUAAACUAACAAUCCCUAUUAACAAAUCAAAGCUAAAAACUAAUGCCACGAACUAAAGCCAUCUAUCAGAUUAAUUAGAAAGAAACAAAAAAAGUCCCAACGCAAUUAAACUUAUUCUACUUAGCACUGAUAAGGAAAAGACGAUUGCGAGCAAGGCGAAAACCCAAACAGAAAUUAACGUUAAGAACUUUGGUCAAAGAAUUCAUGCAUGCAUAGAAACAGAAAAAAAAGAAAUAAAGAAAUGAAACGAAAUCAACAGACAAGGAUGAUAAGAACUCACUGAUACACACAAAGACUCCAACCAACCUUUACAGACGAAUUCGAACUAAUCUAGUGGGAAUGGAAUGCCAUUGCUUGUGAGUUCUUCAUGAGGAAGGUUUACUGACCAUGUAGCAUCGACUUGGUAACUCCUUAUGAGAAUUCAGAUUUCCCGGCCAAUUUCAAUUCCAAUUUCGAUAGGCUUGAUGGUGAUUCAAAGAGAAUGGCUUGGGUAUUUGGGAUGAGGAAGUUCAGGCGAGUCUAUGGUGCAAAUUUGGUGGUAUUUGGCACACUUUGUGUUUUGACCGGAAAAUUUCAAUUGGACAUUCGAGGGCCUGGGAUAGGAUUCGAGAGAUGACAGUGUGAGGGUUGGAAAGAGGAGAAGAGGGGUAUCUCAAUGGUGUCCUUUUGAUGGUCAUUGGCGUAACUAGCGUUUCCCGCCGGCUAGGGAUUCCGGCGAGAAUUAGGGGUAUACGAGGAAGAAGACUAUAUGUCUUUAAUUCUGAUUAAC
RNAcentral lists this long non-coding RNA (3871 nucleotides) under Nicotiana benthamiana. Its description in RNAcentral is "long non-coding RNA (NBEN_LNC031391)". Lineage: Eukaryota; Viridiplantae; Streptophyta; Magnoliopsida; Solanales; Solanaceae. The record is from RNAcentral.